This 271-nucleotide ribosomal RNA is filed under the name uncultured Staphylococcus sp. Its description in RNAcentral is "partial 16S ribosomal RNA". It matches the Rfam family "Bacterial small subunit ribosomal RNA", at positions 90 to 355 of the family's 1533-position model. The record is from RNAcentral. Lineage: Bacteria; Bacillati; Bacillota; Bacilli; Caryophanales; Staphylococcaceae.
CGUUAGCGGCGGACGGGUGAGUAACACGUGGGUAACCUACCUAUAAGACUGGGAUAACUUCGGGAAACCGGAGCUAAUACCGGAUAAUAUUUCGAACCGCAUGGUUCGAUAGUGAAAGAUGGUUUUGCUAUCACUUGUAGAUGGACCCGCGCCGUAUUAGCUAGUUGGUAAGGUAACGGCUCACCAAGGCGACAUACGUAGCCGACCUGAGAGGGUGAUCGGCCACACUGGAACUGAGACACGGUCCAGACUCCUACGGGAGGCAGCAGCA